CUUGAAGAUUGUAAAGAUACUGUCAUCACUCAGAGCUGUGCAGGAAGGAAAGUUAGUGCAUGCAUUUGUCAGAGCUCAGCUGAGGUUGAAUGAAGUGAGACAGAGCAUGCCUGUAUUUUGCUGUAUGCAGCCUCCAAGUCCUGAUGUAGCCUUUAAAUACAAGCCUUGCUUUAACUUUUUGUCUAGAGUUCCUGCCUGUGCAGGAAGGGAUUGGCUGCAGCCAGCCAAUGUGCCCAGGCAAUGCUCUGGUCAUGAAAAGAGCUGAUAAUUCAUUGAAUCCAUGUCUGCUGGGAUGCCCAGGACUGGAUUUCUGCCUUGCAUCCAGCUCAGACCCUCUAACUCUGCAAGUGUUCCCAGGCUUUGGAAGAAUGAAUGACUGCUGGAGUGAGUUACAGCCCAUGUGGAUCCUAGAAAACACACUCCUACCACAGGCUACUCCAAGGAUUCCCAAGCUCAGCCCCAGCCAGGCUCCACCCAGACACCAGCAAAAGAAACCUGAUGUAAACAGAAGAUGGUUUUCAUCAGUUGUCUGCAGAGACAAAGAGCAAAUCUUCCAUGCCAACAUGGAAAAAUUUAUUAGCAAGUAUGAGCUGGGGCAAAAAAAUGAAGCCAAGAAUGUUACUAAGAAGCGUUGGAAGCAACUGAAGAGGAGGAUAAGAAAAGUAAAUAUUGAAUUCUUACACAAGGUCUUGAAGGUUGAAAAUGGUCUGAGAUUGAUGCCAGCAAUCAUCAACAGCAAGUUAAACCACUAG
This 752-nucleotide long non-coding RNA is filed under the name Junco hyemalis (dark-eyed junco). Its description in RNAcentral is "lncRNA (ENSJHYG00000012245.1)". The record is from RNAcentral. Lineage: Eukaryota; Metazoa; Chordata; Aves; Passeriformes; Passerellidae.